Ctenopharyngodon idella (grass carp) is the source of this 1532-nucleotide long non-coding RNA. RefSeq lists it as uncharacterized. Lineage: Eukaryota; Metazoa; Chordata; Actinopteri; Cypriniformes; Xenocyprididae. The record is from RefSeq and is a predicted model, not a curated record. The transcript is spliced from 2 exons.
AGCUACACUUACCUUAAAAAUUGUGUAGUAGAAUCUUUUAUUUAUGUGGCUUAUAAAUGAGGAAAGGUACAAAACAAAAAUGUGUAGAUGUCUUAUUCAGUGUGUGCAUGCCUGACUAGGUUUUGAUACCAAAACAGAAGGUUUUAUGUCUCAUGCUAACAUUUUAUUUUAUUGUACAAUCCCAGCAAACAUUUGGACGUUUAAUGACCGUUAAAAAAAGACAUCCCUCCAACACGUCCUGUCAUGGCCAAACUGGCCGGCUCCCUGAUCAGUUCCCUGACUAAUGAACUAGGGAGCUGAUUGUCUAUCAAAACGUUUUAAUAUCUUUUAGCCAGGAUCUAAUGAUUAUGUUAAAUUUGGUGAAGAUCCAGUGAAUGGUAAAGGAGUUUGUCAGUACAUUUUCAUUCAAAAUGAAAAUCUAGUCAGGCGAAAACUGAACAAUGGUACGCAUUCGACUCAAAACAAAAGAACAAACAUAUUUCUAGUUAUGCCAAGCUCUAAAAAAAAAUGUAUUGGGUAGUGAGGGGGGCCUUCAAAUAUUAUUGCGUACAAUGGGGGGACCAAAAAGGUUGAGAUCCACUGUUAAAGAGAUGAGACAAACACAUCAUUUUGGAUUUGCCAACUCUACUGCAUAAAGAGAUUACCCAUUCAAUAUGAAGUUUCGUACUUUGUUGACUAUGUACGUCGCUGUCUUGUACCGCUGACGCUGACUUGGCAGCACCUCAAAUCGCCACACAAAUGUUUAUGUAAGACGCCCUGAGCUAAUAGUAACAUGCUAAGCGUUUCAAUGAGUUAAGCGCAUAUAUUUCUUUUAUUUCAUUCACGUUUCGGGUAUUGGAUUAGAUCACACUCACUGACAGGAUGGAAGAGAAAAGGAUCAGAUGAUUUGUUCGUUCAAGCACACCGAGACUGAACUACAGCCACUGUGACAAAAACAAACAGCCACUGGUCUCUGAGACGCUCAUUAAAGUGUUUGAGAUGAGAGGACCGGCUGAGUGAAGAACUUCACAUCAGCUACAACCAGAAUUUCCCUCUAAAGUCCCAGAAGAUUGUUCAGUCAGUGUGGCAGAUCCCAGAAGUCCAGUCCAGAAAUGAUGUGUGCGAUACAAAUACAGUAAAACAUCAAGUAUCGUGCCUGUUGGUGGAAAAUGUGUGUAUGUGUUUUAACUGGAUAUGGGUUUUUAACAAUUAUUUGAUAUUGCUGGGGCAAAUUUCCAUCUGUGUGUCAGGUACCAUGUAACAGAUUUACUCAACUACAAUUUUUAGUGUACAAAUGUUUUAAAAUGAUGAUAAAUAGAUUUGAACUUGGCUCAAUGUAAUGAUUGCUAAAUAGUAAUAUCUAGCAAAUGGCAUAUUUAGGGCAAAGAAUCACAAAAAUAUAUUCAAUAUAAAAAAUUACCUGAUUUUUGAGUGUUUUUGGCCAAAACAGGUCUGACCUUUUUGAUCCUAAAGCAUUAAAAUAAACAUCUUUGCAUAAUGUUGAAUUCCUGCACUGGUUGUACUCAUUAAAUAUAGAGUUUUGCUUGAUCUUC